CAGGAUGUAGCUAAGAUAGAAAAGCAUUUCCCUUACACUGAAAAGCCCCCCGUGCAACUCGGAGUAUCCUGA
RNAcentral lists this transfer RNA (72 nucleotides) under Chasmodes bosquianus (striped blenny). RNAcentral describes it as "tRNA-Val". It matches the Rfam family "tRNA". Rfam says of the family: Transfer RNA (tRNA) molecules are approximately 80 nucleotides in length. Their secondary structure includes four short double-helical elements and three loops (D, anti-codon, and T loops). The record is from RNAcentral. Lineage: Eukaryota; Metazoa; Chordata; Actinopteri; Blenniiformes; Blenniidae.